Molecule: ribosomal RNA, 303 nt
Filed under: uncultured bacterium
Lineage: Bacteria
Description: partial 16S ribosomal RNA
Rfam family: Bacterial small subunit ribosomal RNA
Source: RNAcentral
AGCAGUCGCCGCGGGAACACGUAGGGUGCGAGCGUUAAUCGGAAUUACUGGGCGUAAAGCGUGCGCAGGCGGUUAUAUAAGACAGAUGUGAAAUCCCCGGGCUCAACCUGGGACCUGCAUUUGUGACUGUAUAGCUAGAGUACGGUAGAGGGGGAUGGAAUUCCGCGUGUAGCAGUGAAAUGCGUAGAUAUGCGGAGGAACACCGAUGGCGAAGGCAAUCCCCUGGACCUGUACUGACGCUCAUGCACGAAAGCGUGGGGAGCAAACAGGAUUAGAGACCCGCGUAGUCCCUGUCUCUUAUAC